GAGGAGUGCACGAUGACGAGGGGAAAGCAGAAGAUCGAAUCGCAGAGGAAGAACGCGGAGAGGAACCAGAAACCGAAAGGUUCCCAGCUCGAGGCGAGAGCGGUCGGUCUCAAGGUCGUCUGCCCCAUCUGCAAGUUACUGCACCUACAAGGAUAACCAGUUAUGAUGAUAAUGAAACAUCAUCGAUGGAGAUAAUCAAACUAGAACAAUGACUUCUCUCCUAUAUAAGUUUGUUUUCUUUAUGUUAUCUUCAAACUUAUCUCACUGUAGCAUAAAACUUGCUAUUUAACUGUAUCAAUCCACAGUUGAAAAUCCUUUCAAUGUCAGACUUCCGAGGUUUUAGCGUACCUGGCUGCGUGUGAUGAUACAAUUCUCCUAGCAGGUGUUAUUGUUAUUCAUUUGAUACAAUUCUCUUAGCAGGAGUUAGUGAAUUCACACACACAUUUAGAGAGAGA
Long non-coding RNA from Zingiber officinale, 455 nucleotides. RefSeq lists it as uncharacterized. The transcript is spliced from 2 exons. NCBI's taxonomy places the organism in Eukaryota, Viridiplantae, Streptophyta, Magnoliopsida, Zingiberales, Zingiberaceae. The record is from RefSeq and is a predicted model, not a curated record.